UAUCUCUGUAGAGUCUGCAUAUCAAUAAGCGGAGGAAAAGAAACUAACAAGGAUUCCCUUAGUAACGGCGAGUGAAGCGGGAAGAGCUCAAAUUUGAAAUCUUCAAGGUUUCUACCUUGACGAAUUGUAGUUUAAAGAAGUGUUUUCUGUUGAAGUUAGGUAAAAGUUCCUUGGAAUAGGACAUCAUAGAGGGUGAGAAUCCCGUAUUUGGUUAUUCAUUCUAGCUGUGUGAUACACUUUCAAAGCGUCGGAUUGUUUGGGAAUGCAGUCCAAAAUGGGUGGUAAAUUUCAUCUAAAGCUAAAUAUUGGCGAGAGACCGAUAGCGAACAAGUACCGUGAGGGAAAGAUGAAAAGAACUUUGAAAAGAGAGUUAAACAGUACGUGAAAUUGUCAAAAGGGAAGCGUUUGACACCAGUGUUGUUUUUCCGAAAAUCAAUUACGAAUGGCUUGAUUCUGUGUUGUAUUGACCUUAUCAGCUUUCUUCACUUUUUUCGAGUCUUUCUUAAUGCACUUUUCGGUUAACAAGUCAACAUCAAUUUCUUUUGUUGUAAAAGAGUAUUCGGAAGGUGGCUUUCUUUUCGGAGAAAGUGUUUAUAGCCCUAUACUUCUACAAUCGGAGAGAUUGAGGUCUACAGCGUAGAUCCUUCGGGGUUAGAUACAUUUGUGCUAAGUUGUAGCUUUUCAUAGACAACUUGUUGACUAUGUUUAGUCAUGCGGCUUACUCGCUUAUGCUAUUUUACCUACGCUUAGGAUGUUGAAGAUGUAGCACAUCAU
This 774-nucleotide ribosomal RNA is filed under the name uncultured Neocallimastigales. Its description in RNAcentral is "partial large subunit ribosomal RNA". It matches the Rfam family "Eukaryotic large subunit ribosomal RNA", at positions 24 to 643 of the family's 3401-position model. The record is from RNAcentral. Lineage: Eukaryota; Fungi; Neocallimastigomycota; Neocallimastigomycetes; Neocallimastigales.